RNAcentral lists this ribosomal RNA (627 nucleotides) under uncultured Bacteroidales bacterium. Its description in RNAcentral is "bacterial SSU rRNA". It matches the Rfam family "Bacterial small subunit ribosomal RNA", at positions 79 to 704 of the family's 1533-position model. Lineage: Bacteria; Pseudomonadati; Bacteroidota; Bacteroidia; Bacteroidales. The record is from RNAcentral.
CUAAGGCCGAUGGCGACCGGCGCACGGGUGAGUAACACGUAUCCAACCUGCCGUCUACUCUUGGACAGCCUUCUGAAAGGAAGAUUAAUACAAGAUGGCAUCAUGAGUCCGCAUGUUCACAUGAUUAAAGGUAUUCCGGUAGACGAUGGGGAUGCGUUCCAUUAGAUAGUAGGCGGGGUAACGGCCCACCUAGUCUUCGAUGGAUAGGGGUUCUGAGAGGAAGGUCCCCCACAUUGGAACUGAGACACGGUCCAAACUCCUACGGGAGGCAGCAGUGAGGAAUAUUGGUCAAUGGGCGCAGGCCUGAACCAGCCAAGUAGCGUGAAGGAUGAAGGCUCUAUGGGUCGUAAACUUCUUUUAUAUAAGAAUAAAGUGCAGUAUGUAUACUGUUUUGUAUGUAUUAUAUGAAUAAGGAUCGGCUAACUCCGUGCCAGCAGCCGCGGUAAUACGGAGGAUCCGAGCGUUAUCCGGAUUUAUUGGGUUUAAAGGGAGCGUAGGUGGACUGGUAAGUCAGUUGUGAAAGUUUGCGGCUCAACCGUAAAAUUGCAGUUGAUACUGUCAGUCUUGAGUACAGUAGAGGUGGGCGGAAUUCGUGGUGUAGCGGUGAAAUGCUUAGAUAUCACGAAG